RNAcentral lists this ribosomal RNA (373 nucleotides) under uncultured bacterium. Its description in RNAcentral is "bacterial SSU rRNA". It matches the Rfam family "Bacterial small subunit ribosomal RNA", at positions 359 to 758 of the family's 1533-position model. The record is from RNAcentral.
UCAUGCGUGGGGGCACCCUGACCGCGAUGCCGCGUGGGUGAUGAAGGCCUUCGGGUUGUAAAGCCCUUUCGGCGGGGACGAUAGUGACGGUACCCGCAGAAGAAGCCUCGGCUAACUCCGUGCCAGCAGCCGCGGUAAGACGGAGGAGGCUAGCGUUGUUCGGAAUUACUGGGCGUAAAGCGCGCGCAGGCGGCUUAGCAAGUCAGGGGUGGAAGCCCGGGGCUCAACCUCGGAACUGCCUUUGAGACUGCUAGGCUCGAGACCGAGAGAGGAGAGUGGAAUUCCCAGUGUAGAGGUGAAAUUCGUAGAUAUUGGGAAGAACACCAGUGGCGAAGGCGGCUCUCUGGCUCGGUACUGACGCUGAGGCGCGAAA